GCUGGGCGUGGUGGUGGGCGCCUGUAAUCCCAGCUACUCGGGAGGCUGAGGCAGAAGAAUCGCUUGAGCCCAGGAGGAGGAGGUUGCAGUGAGCCGAGACUGUGCCACUGCAUUCCAGCCUGGGCGACAGAGCGAGACCCUGUCUCGG
Pongo abelii (Sumatran orangutan) is the source of this 148-nucleotide unclassified non-coding RNA. It matches the Rfam family "Metazoan signal recognition particle RNA". From Rfam's summary of the family: The signal recognition particle (SRP) is a universally conserved ribonucleoprotein. It is involved in the co-translational targeting of proteins to membranes. Lineage: Eukaryota; Metazoa; Chordata; Mammalia; Primates; Hominidae. The record is from Ensembl.